GACGAACGCUGGCGGCGUGCUUAACACAUGCAAGUCGAACGGAAAGGCCCCUUUGGGGGUACUCGAGUGGCGAACGGGUGAGUAACACGUGAGUAACCUGCCCUUGACUUCGGGAUAACUUCAUGAAACUGGGGCUAAUACCGGAUAGGAAUCCUUGCUGCAUGGUGGGGGUUGGAAAGCUUGGGCGGUUUUGGGUGGACUCGCGGCUUAUCAGCUUGUUGGUGGGGUAGUGGCUUACCAAGGCCUUGACGGGUAGCCGGCCUGAGAGGGCGACCGGCCACAUUGGGGCUGAGAUACGGCCCAGACCCCUACGGGAGGCAGGCGUGGGGAAUAUUGCCCAAUGGGCCGAAGCCUGAUGCAGCAAAGCCGCGUGCGGGAUGACGGCCUUCGGGUUGUAAACCGCUUUCCGCAGGGGCGAAGCUUGUGGUGACGGUACCUGCAGAAGAAGCACCGGCUAACUACGUG
RNAcentral lists this ribosomal RNA (465 nucleotides) under uncultured bacterium. RNAcentral describes it as "partial 16S ribosomal RNA". It matches the Rfam family "Bacterial small subunit ribosomal RNA", at positions 28 to 507 of the family's 1533-position model. The record is from RNAcentral.